GUGUGUGUGUGUGUGUGUGUGUCUAUAUAUAUAUAUAUAUAUAUAUAUACUUGCUUAUAACCUUUGCCAUAAUAUAAAUAAAUACACACACACACACGCUCACACGCUU
This 109-nucleotide microRNA precursor is filed under the name Daucus carota subsp. sativus. RNAcentral's name for it is "pre miRNA MIR403". The record is from RNAcentral. Lineage: Eukaryota; Viridiplantae; Streptophyta; Magnoliopsida; Apiales; Apiaceae.